AUUUAUAUAGUUUAGAUAAAACAUUACAUUUUCACUGUAAAAACAAAGAAACCUUUUAUAAAUA
RNAcentral lists this transfer RNA (64 nucleotides) under Aderitotermes cavator. Its description in RNAcentral is "tRNA-Glu". It matches the Rfam family "tRNA". From Rfam's summary of the family: Transfer RNA (tRNA) molecules are approximately 80 nucleotides in length. Their secondary structure includes four short double-helical elements and three loops (D, anti-codon, and T loops). Lineage: Eukaryota; Metazoa; Arthropoda; Insecta; Blattodea; Termitidae. The record is from RNAcentral.